Molecule: ribosomal RNA, 253 nt
Filed under: uncultured bacterium
Lineage: Bacteria
Description: partial 16S ribosomal RNA
Rfam family: Bacterial small subunit ribosomal RNA
Source: RNAcentral
UACGUAGGGGGCUAGCGUUGUCCGGAAUCAUUGGGCGUAAAGCGCGUGUAGGCGGUUCGGUAAGUCCGCUGUGAAAGUCGGGGGCUCAACCCUCGAAAGCCGGUGGAUACUGUCGGGCUAGAGUACGGAAGAGGCGAGUGGAAUUCCUGGUGUAGCGGUGAAAUGCGCAGAUAUCAGGAGGAACACCAAUUGCGAAGGCAGCUCGCUGGGACGUUACUGACGCUGAGACGCGAAAGCUAGGGGAGCAAACGGG